Molecule: long non-coding RNA, 1935 nt
Organism: Actinia tenebrosa (Australian red waratah sea anemone)
Lineage: Eukaryota; Metazoa; Cnidaria; Anthozoa; Actiniaria; Actiniidae
Source: RefSeq, a predicted model, not a curated record
AUAGUUCACUAGUUCAGCAUCAGACGGAUCUUCGAUUUGUGCCGCUCUCGUGUCUGCUGUAAGCCCGGAGUAAGGGAGCUUGCCCUUCAAGAAUCCAUCCAGCAUAACAAAGGAUCUGAAGACCAGAUAAAAUAUGUCACUUCAGCUGCCUCAAAACACAUUUCCAACCAUUCCACUAUGCGAGGUCACCGGCAACACUGCAACUAAAGGAUCCCAUGAAAUCAAGCAACUAACUAGCCCCUGUGGUGAGAUUCCUAAAUAUAACCUUCUACGGCCCGAAAAGAUCGUAAAAUAACUUCGACGUGGUGAGUACGUUGACCUUGGAGGACUAUAUUCUCUUCUAACAUGUCAUGAAUUCGGCCGGGUCACACCAUGAUUCCAUGGAAUCUGAUAGAGCAAACAUUGACCUUACUACGUGACUCAGUCACGGCGACGCCAUUUGCUCGACAAUUUCGAUGACUGGUUGUUAGUAUGGAACAAAUACGAAUUUCAAACAAUCCCAAACUGUAUGACGAGUUAGUGCAAUAUCACAAAGCGAUGCAGAUUGCUAAACGGACGUUUUUGUGCGCCUCAGUUUACGUAAAGGGUUCGUUUUUCCAUACAACUUGCAUUUUAAAAUAUUUUAAAAAAAUAACCAAGUCUACUCGGUUUUCAGUCAACGAUUCAACUCAACUAUCUUGGAAAAUGGAUGCCACUGCUUUCAAGAAAGAUUCACGCUCAUACUGCGAUGUUCAAAUCAUCGCUAACGUACAUUCUACGUGGUACAAACCAUUGGUUAGCUAGGUCUGUAGAUGGUUCUUACAUAAGUACCGUUCAAGUCCAACUCUUGUGUCCUGUCUUUACCAUCUGGACAAUAAGUGACAAUUAUUAUAUCUUCAUUAAACACCAAUCCAAAUGGACAAUAUAGUUGACCGUCGUCUCCUGUUCAUUGGCUGCAAAAACUCUCUCAAAUAGUUUCCAUCAAGAAUAAUAUCUGAAUGAUUACUCUACUCAGCAAUGGCUUCAUUAUCACUUACUGCUAUUGACCAUGGAUUAUGCAACUGUCCUCCACCACUUCGUCCAAAGGUUUUUCACAGGUUUGAACAUUCUGAGGCGAGUUCUUGAUCAUUUCUCCUCCAAUAUUUACCUUAAUUUCUUGCCGUCUAUUUUUGUGUGGCUUAAAACUCACGACGGUAUUUUCCAGUUUGCUCUUGAGGCACUUUCUUUCCCACGUCGUUGCCCUCUAAAUCUUUUAUUCUAACAUCGAUAGACUCGAUUCUUGUGGUACACACUUCUCAUUCUGUAUUCCUGGUGAUUAUCUUGCACUCGUUUAUAAAACGAGGAAAUUAUUUUUUCAGUGACUCAAUUGUGGAUUGAGCAGGGCCCGUCGGGUUCUUCACGAUCCUACCAGUGUUGUUAUGCAUUACUUGCGUGACGAUUUCCUCUGUCACGGAGUAUCGUAUUGUCCAGUCACGUUGGAUUGGCUGACGGUACAAGAUUGAAGGAGCUUCUGAUUGUUGUUGUUUCUCUCCUUCCUUCGGCUUCUCUUCCAAUUCCUUGUGAAUKGUUGGAAAUGCGUCUUUCUUUAGAACUCUCUUGUUUCCAAACGGAGUUCCGAUUAUAUGGACAAAAUGAUGCUCGAAUUCGUCCUCUCUGAAGUGUUCAGAACACAACCGAGAGUUUUUGAAUCUGGAAAGUUGGAACAGCCUCCUGCUACGCAUCUAUAAGGUUAUCAACGUUAUACCUGAAUCUUCCCUUAUUUUUCAAAGUCAUACAGGUUUUACUUCGUGUUACGUUUGAAGAGGAAUAGUCCCGGAGGAGUUCAUCAUUUGUAGUCGUACGAAGAUUGGCAGUCUUUGAGCUGAGACGUUAAAGAUUAAUACAGUAUCAGAUGUUAGAAGGAUGUCGUGAUUGAAAAUGAAAUAUAUUAAUAUGAUUAAUAUAAGAAGAAUGUAA